CGGUAGCGUUGCGACUCAGAACAACGGCGCUAGCGGCGGAGAUGAGGUGAUACGGGUGGGACGCGUCUGGAACUCUGGAUCUGAUGGGUAAAGUGAAGUGGUGUGUGUUUCUUACUUGUUGCUGAAGAAGGGAAGGUAAAUGGGCUUAGGCCUAAACUACAGUGCAGCUCGCCACUGUAUACUUAACAAGUUCUAGUGAUUCGUCGAGGGGCUUAACAACUCAUGUUUACCAUGAGUAGAUCGAUGUUAUAUAAGUAUGUGUUACGAUGCUAAAACAAUUUCUGAAAGUUGAAAUGUUAAUUUCUGAAU
Molecule: small RNA, 309 nt
Filed under: Oryza sativa Japonica Group (Japanese rice)
Lineage: Eukaryota; Viridiplantae; Streptophyta; Magnoliopsida; Poales; Poaceae
Description: sRNA Os05g0509050
Source: RNAcentral